Molecule: long non-coding RNA, 305 nt
Filed under: Homo sapiens (human)
Lineage: Eukaryota; Metazoa; Chordata; Mammalia; Primates; Hominidae
Description: non-protein coding lnc-RAB18-5:1
Source: RNAcentral
GUGGUGCACAUUCCUAAAGCCUUCCAGACUUUCUGUAAGAAGUGUGGCAAGCACCAACCCCACAAAGUGGCACAGGACAAGAAAGGCAAGGAUGCUGUGUAUGCGCGGGGAACAUGGCGUCAUGGCAGGAAGCAGAGCGGGAGUAAGCCAAUUUUCCAAUAAAAAGGCUAAAACUACAAAGGAGAUGGUGCUGAGGCUUGAGCGCUGAGCCCAGCUGCAGAUCUAAGACGAUGCUGGAUAUGAGGACAUGCAAGCAUUUUGAACUAGGAGGAGAUAAGAAGAGAAAGGGCCAAGUGAUUCAGUUC